This 253-nucleotide ribosomal RNA is filed under the name uncultured bacterium. Its description in RNAcentral is "partial 16S ribosomal RNA". It matches the Rfam family "Bacterial small subunit ribosomal RNA", at positions 524 to 776 of the family's 1533-position model. The record is from RNAcentral.
UACGUAAGUGGCAAGCGUUAUCCGGAAUCACUGGGUGUAAAGGGUGUGUAGGCGGUAAUGUAAGUUUUGUGUUUAAUGCUAGGGCUUAACCCUGGUUUGGCAUGAAAGACUGCAUUGCUAGAGUGGUGAAGAGGAAACUGGAACUCCAGGUGAAGCGGUGAAAUGUGUAGAUAUCUGGGGGAACACCAAUGGCGAAGGCAGGUUUCUGGUCAUCAACUGACGCUGAGACACGAAAGCGUGGGGAUCAAACGGG